GCCGUCACUAUAUAUAUCUGGUUUUACUCCUACUCUGUUUUCCUGGCACUGUAGUGGUCCUUUAACAAAUAAAAAUUGGAAAUCUAGUGGCAGAGUAGGAGUAAAACCAUAUAUAUAUAGUGACGGC
Molecule: non-coding RNA, 127 nt
Organism: Pelobates cultripes (western spadefoot toad)
Lineage: Eukaryota; Metazoa; Chordata; Amphibia; Anura; Pelobatidae
Source: the annotation of a GenBank genome assembly